RNAcentral lists this transfer RNA (87 nucleotides) under bacterium. Its description in RNAcentral is "tRNA-Ser". It matches the Rfam family "tRNA". Rfam says of the family: Transfer RNA (tRNA) molecules are approximately 80 nucleotides in length. Their secondary structure includes four short double-helical elements and three loops (D, anti-codon, and T loops). Further hydrogen bonds mediate the characteristic L-shaped molecular structure. tRNAs have two regions of fundamental functional importance: the anti-codon, which is responsible for specific mRNA codon recognition, and the 3' end, to which the tRNAs corresponding amino acid is attached (by aminoacyl-tRNA synthetases). tRNAs cope with the degeneracy of the genetic code in two manners: having more than one tRNA (with a specific anti-codon) for a particular amino acid; and 'wobble' base-pairing, i.e. permitting non-standard base-pairing at the 3rd anti-codon position. The record is from RNAcentral.
GGUGGGGUGGCUGAGCGGUCGAAAGCGACGGUCCUGAAAACCGUUAUACCUGAAAGGGUAUCGUGAGUUCGAAUCUCACCCCCACCG